RNAcentral lists this ribosomal RNA (468 nucleotides) under uncultured bacterium. RNAcentral's name for it is "partial 16S ribosomal RNA". It matches the Rfam family "Bacterial small subunit ribosomal RNA", at positions 28 to 507 of the family's 1533-position model. The record is from RNAcentral.
GACGAACGCUGGCGGCGUGCUUAACACAUGCGAGUCGAACGGAAAGGCCCUGCUUUUGUGGGGUUCUCGAGUGGCGAACGGGUGAGUAACACGUGAGUAACCUGCACUUGACUUUGGGAUAACAUCAGGAAACUGGGGCGAAUACCCGAUAUGAGCUCCUGCUGCAUGGUGGGGGUUGGUAAGUUCCGGCCGUUGUGGAUGGAAUCGCGGCUUAUCAGCUUGUUGGUGGGGUAGUGGCUGACAAAGGGUUUGAAGGGUAGCCUGCCCGAGAGGGUGAACGGCCACAUUGGGACUGCGAUACGGCCCAGUCUGCUACGGGAGGCAGCGGUGGGAAAUAUUGCACAAUGGGCGGAAGCCUGAUACAGAGACGCCGCGUGCGGGAUGACGGCCUUCGGGUUGUAAACCGCUUUCGCCGGUGACGAAGCGUGAUUGACGGUAAUGGGUCAAGAAGCACCGGCUAACUACGUG